RNAcentral lists this ribosomal RNA (253 nucleotides) under uncultured prokaryote. RNAcentral describes it as "partial 16S ribosomal RNA". It matches the Rfam family "Bacterial small subunit ribosomal RNA", at positions 525 to 777 of the family's 1533-position model. The record is from RNAcentral.
ACAGAGGGGGCAAGCGUUGUUCGGAAUUACUGGGCGUAAAGGGCGCGUAGGCGGCCUUCUAAGUCGAACGUGAAAUCCCCGGGCUUAACCCGGGAACUGCGUCCGAUACUGGAAGGCUUGAAUCCGGGAGAGGGAUGCGGAAUUCCAGGUGUAGCGGUGAAAUGCGUAGAUAUCGAGAGGAACACCUGCGGCGAAGGCGGGUUGCUGGGCUGACACUGACGCUGAGGCGCGAAAGCUAGGGGAGCGAACGGGA